GGGGGUGUAGCUAAGUCAGGUAGAGGGGCAGUCUCCAAAACCGCAGGUCGGGGGUUCGAAUCCCUCCACUCCUGCCA
RNAcentral lists this transfer RNA (77 nucleotides) under Chloroflexota bacterium. RNAcentral's name for it is "Chloroflexi bacterium tRNA-Trp". It matches the Rfam family "tRNA". From Rfam's summary of the family: Transfer RNA (tRNA) molecules are approximately 80 nucleotides in length. Their secondary structure includes four short double-helical elements and three loops (D, anti-codon, and T loops). The record is from RNAcentral. Lineage: Bacteria; Bacillati; Chloroflexota.